CCUACGGGGUGCAGCAGUGAGGAAUAUUGGUCAAUGGGCGGGAGCCUGAACCAGCCAAGCCGCGUGAGGGAAGAAGGUACAGCGUAUCGUAAACCUCUUUUGUCAGGGAACAAAGGCGGGGACUAGUCCCCGGAUGAGGGUACCUGAAGAAAAAGCAUCGGCUAACUCCGUGCCAGCAGCCGCGGUAAUACGGAGGAUGCGAGCGUUAUCCGGAUUUAUUGGGUUUAAAGGGUGCGCAGGCGGCCUGUUAAGUCAGCGGUAAAAGCCCGGGGCUCAACCCCGGCGAGCCGUUGAAACUGGCGGGCUGGAGUUGGAGAGAAGUACGCGGAAUGCGCGGUGGAGCGGUGAAAUGCUUAGAUAUCGCGCAGAACUCCGAUUGCGAAGGCAGCUUACUAAGCCAUAACUGACACUGAAGCACGAAAGCGUGGGGAUCAAACAGGAUUAGAUACCCUGGUAGUC
This 459-nucleotide ribosomal RNA is filed under the name uncultured bacterium. Its description in RNAcentral is "partial 16S ribosomal RNA". It matches the Rfam family "Bacterial small subunit ribosomal RNA", at positions 338 to 795 of the family's 1533-position model. The record is from RNAcentral.